This 497-nucleotide ribosomal RNA is filed under the name uncultured bacterium. RNAcentral's name for it is "partial 16S ribosomal RNA". It matches the Rfam family "Bacterial small subunit ribosomal RNA", at positions 28 to 507 of the family's 1533-position model. The record is from RNAcentral.
GACGAACGCUGGCGGCGUGCCUAAUACAUGCAAGUAGAACGCUGAAGAGAGGAGCUUGCUCUUCUUGGAUGAGUUGCGAACGGGUGAGUAACGCGUAGGUAACCUGCCUUGUAGCGGGGGAUAACUAUUGGAAACGAUAGCUAAUACCGCAUAACAAUGGAUGACACAUGUCAUUUAUUUGAAAGGGGCAAUUGCUCCACUACAAGAUGGACCUGCGUUGUAUUAGCUAGUAGGUGAGGUAAUGGCUCACCUAGGCGACGAUACAUAGCCGACCUGAGAGGGUGAUCGGCCACACUGGGACUGAGACACGGCCCAGACUCCUACGGGAGGCAGCAGUAGGUAAUCUUCGGCAAUGGGGGCAACCCUGACCGAGCAACGCCGCGUGAGUGAAGAAGGUUUUCGGAUCGUAAAGCUCUGUUGUAAGUCAAGAACGGGUGUGAGAGUGGAAAGUUCACACUGUGACGGUAGCUUACCAGAAAGGGACGGCUAACUACGUG